Molecule: ribosomal RNA, 1303 nt
Filed under: Poecilimon chopardi
Lineage: Eukaryota; Metazoa; Arthropoda; Insecta; Orthoptera; Tettigoniidae
Description: 16S ribosomal RNA
Rfam family: Archaeal large subunit ribosomal RNA (bases 611-1303)
Source: RNAcentral
AGAAUAUUAUUUAUAUUAUUUAGGAUAAAGUUGUUAAUUAAAAUAAUUUUAGUGGUUGAUUUUUAUGUAUAGUUUAUAGAAAUUAUAAGGUGAAUAAUAGAGAAUAAGUACUGUGGAGGAAAUAUGAAAUAGAUGAAAUAGUUAUUAGGGUAAAAGAAGAAUGGUAUUUGUACCUUGGGUAUCAGGGUUUAUUAAUUAAUGAUAAUGAUUUAUGAUUCUCGAAUUAAAAAGAGUUAAAAUGAUAUGGUAGUUAAUGUGUUAUUAUUAUUGGGAAUAUUAUUUUAGGGAUGAAAUGUUAAGCGUUUUUUAAGUUAUCUGGUUUUUCAAGAAAUGAAUUUAAUUCAUGUUAUUAGAAGUAAAAUAUUAAUUGAUAUUAAUAGUUUAUUUUUAGUGGUAAAUGUAUAAAGGGAUAAGCUUUUAUGUAUAAACUAUAAGUUAUGAUAUUUAUAAAGAGUUGUAGGCUUUAAAUUAGCUAUCAAUAGGAUAAUGUUAUAAAUUGUUUUGUAAUUAAAUUAUUUUUUUAUGGUUUUAGUUUAUAUAUUGAAAUAUUAUAUUAAAUGGGUUAAUAUAAGUGAUGAUGAUAAAAUAAGUAUAUAGAAUUUGUUUAUAUAAUUUUUUUUUUGAAAUUUGUAAUAAGGAACUAGGCAAAUAUAUCACUCGCCUGUUUAUCAAAAACAUCUCCUUUUGUAUUUAUGUAAGGUAGGGCCUGCCCACUGAAAGUUAUUUGAAGGGCCGCAGUAUUAUGACUGUGCAAAGGUAGCAUAAUCAUUAGUCUUUUAAUUGAAGGCUGGAAUGAAUGGUUUGACGAGGUGAUAACUGUCUCAUUAUGAUAUAUAGAAGUUAACUUUUAAGUUAAAAGGCUUAGAUUUUAAUGGAGGACGAGAAGACCCUUUAGAGCUUUAUAUAUAAGUUUAGAUUUGUAUUUAGGGGUUUAUAAAAAUUUGGAUUGAUUAUAUUGUGUUGGGGUGACAUAAAGAUAAAAUUAACUCUUUAUUUUAGGGACAUUGAUGUAUGGACUUUUGAUCCAUUUUUAGUGAUUAUAAGAUUAAGUUACCUUAGGGAUAACAGCGUAAUUUUUCUUGAGAGUUCAUAUCAACAGAGAAGAUUGCGACCUCGAUGUUGGAUUAAGGAAUAUAAUUAGAUGCAGCAGUUUAGUUAAUAGGUCUGUUCGACCUUUAAAUCCUUACAUGAUCUGAGUUCAGACCGGUGUAAGCCAGGUCGGUUUCUAUCCUCAUUGGUAUUUUAUACUUUAGUACGAAAGGACCAAGUAUUUUAAAUAUUUUAUUGUGUUUGAUUAUUAUUA